This 2663-nucleotide small RNA is filed under the name Pongo abelii (Sumatran orangutan). RNAcentral's name for it is "retained intron". Lineage: Eukaryota; Metazoa; Chordata; Mammalia; Primates; Hominidae. The record is from RNAcentral.
AUGGGUUCAGACAAGUAUAUAAUAACAUGUAUUCACCAUUAUAGUAUCAUACGGAGUAUUUUCACUGCCCUAAAAAUCCUUCUGGGCUUUGCCUGUUCAUUCCUCCCCCACUCCUAAUUCCUGGCAACCACUGAUACUUUUGCCUUUUUAGAAUAUCAUAUAUUUGGAAUCAUACAGUAGAUAGCCUUUUCAGAUAGACUUCUUUCACUUAGUAAUAUGCACUUAAGUUUUCUCCAGGUCCUUUUUUGGCUUGAUAGCUCAUUUCUUUUUAGUGCUGAAUAAUAUUUCAUUGUCUUAAUGAACCACAGUUUAGCCAUUCAUGUACAGAAGGACAUUUGUUUGCUUCCAAGUUUUGGCAAUUAUGGAUAAAGCUGCUAUCAACAUCCAUAUACAGGUUUUCAUGUAGACGUAAGUUUUCAACUCCUUUGCGUAAAUACCAAAGAGUGUGUUUGCUGGGUUAUAUGGCAAAAACAUGUUUGCUUUUGUAAGAAGCCAACAAAAUGUCUUCCAAAGUGGCUGUAUGAUUUUGCAUUCCCACCAGCUGUCACUGCUAAUUGGGCAGACCUCCUUUAGAGAUGUCACCAAAGAUAGUGUAAUGCUCUUCACUGUAGGCAUUUAUGAUCUAUAUAAGAACAACAGUGGAUUCUGGGUCAGUGCUUUUAUUUCAUCCUGCCAAGUUCAAGAGAAAGUUUUUUUCUUAUUCUAAGAGAAGACUGUUAUGGUAAAUUAAAAGGAAGAAAUAUAUAAUUACUCUUUUAUUGAAGAGGGGGAAGAAGGAAACACUGUGAUGUAAAUGGCAGAAAUUCAAUAAUUUAAUUCAAACUAAACAGAAUGGGAAUGUAUUGAAUUCAGGAAUGGAAUGUAACGGGAAACUCACUGGUGGUCUUCAGGCGUGGCUGAAUCCAGUGUCUCAAAUGAUAUCAUCAGGAAUACAUUCCUCCCAUCCCUCAGCUCUGUGUUCCUUGGUGUGGUCUUUACUUUUUCCACUUGGUAAUAUGAAUGUCCUCCAAUAUCCUCUUUCCUGCCAGAGAUACCAGAGAAAGGAGAGCUUCUCUGAUAGUUCCAUCAAAAUUCCCAGGGAUGACUCUGAUUGGUCAGCCUGCAUCACAUGACAAUUUUCUUGGUCAAGGAAGUAGGACCAUGUGAUUGACAGUUUCUCUGAGUAUAAGACAAUUUGUUCCUGAAAGAAAAGGGUGCUGGGGGAAAAGGCAACAGAUGUCCACCACAGCAUGUUUUUUUCACUUUAGUGGUUAUUAUCUCUUUUUAGAUUCCCUCAGCACUGGACAGCCGAGACCACGAAGGACUUGGGACCCUUUCUAGUACUUUUCUCAGGAGAUGAAUUAAGCUCUAUAGCCACAAAGUUUCCUGACAUCCUUCUACAAGCAGCUUCCAAGAUGGCCAUGACUCUGCCCCCUAAAGAAUUCCUCUGGGCUGUCUUUGAAUCUGUUCGGAACAGCAGUGAAAAGAUCCCCAGCUCUGACCCUAUACUUGGUUGCCAUGGAGUCGUGGCCCCCUCUUCUGAUGACAUCUUCAAGUUGGCUGAAGCCAACGCCUGCUGGGCCCUGGAGGACCUGCGGUGCAUGGAAGAAGACACAUUCAUCAGGACUGUGGAACUGCUGGGAGCUGUCCAGGGUUUCAGCCGGCCUCAGCUGAUGACCCUGAAGGAGAAAGCAAUACAGGUUUGGGACAUGCCAUCUUACUGGAGAGAACACCAUAUCGUUUCCCUGGGGCGCAUUGCUCUGGCUCUUAAUGAGAGUGAGCUGGAGCAGCUGGACCUCAGCUCCAUAGACACUGUGGCUUCCCUAAGCCGGCAAACAGAAUGGACCCCAGGACAGGCUGAAUCCAUUUUGCAAGGGUACCUGGAUGAUUCAGGAUACAGUAUCCAGGACCUGAAGAGCUUUCAUUUGGUAGGACUUGGUGCAACCCUGUGUGCUAUAAACAUCACUGAAAUCCCACUUAUAAAGAUCUCAGAAUUCAGGGUGGUAGUGGCCAGAAUUGGGACCCUGCUCUGCGGCACACAUGUCUUGGCCGAGUUUAAGAGGAAGGCUGAAGUCGUGUUUGGGGAUCCCACUGAGUGGACCAGUUCUGUCCUGCAGGAGCUUGGGACCAUUGCAGCUGGAUUAACUAAGGCAGAGCUCCGGAUGCUUGACAAGGAUUUGAUGCCAUAUUUCCAGCCAUCAGCAAUAAAAUGCCUUCCUGAUGAGAUAUUCAAAGAGCUGUCCGCGGAGCAGAUCGCCUCCCUGGGUCCCGAGAACGCCGCGGCGGUGACCCACGCCCAGCGCCGGCGGCUCAGUCCACUGCAGCUGCAGAGCCUCCAGCAGGCGCUAGAUGGCGCCAAGACUCACUCCUGGCAGGACGCGCCCGCUAGCGCCAGUCCCACUAGGACCUCAUCCUCGCGUUCUCCCGCAGGAGCUCUCCAGUCAUUGGGUCUUUGGCUUGGUUGUCCCCUGCUGGUUCUAAUGGCCAAGCCCCUGUGGUGAGUGGCGUGAGCGCAUCGUCCUGUGUUGCCCCAAGCAGCUGGCCAACGCGUGUAGAGACAGGAUGCUUCAGAUGGUGGGACACCCUUCCCUGGAUCCAGACCCUCAUCUAGGGCAGGGAGACCCUGGGGCCUUGAUGGUGAAAAUGCACCCCAAAUGAAAAAUAAUUAUUAAAAAUGAUCUUGC